This 654-nucleotide ribosomal RNA is filed under the name uncultured bacterium. Its description in RNAcentral is "bacterial SSU rRNA". It matches the Rfam family "Bacterial small subunit ribosomal RNA", at positions 153 to 805 of the family's 1533-position model. The record is from RNAcentral.
GAAAAUUGGUCUAAUACCGUAUGAGGUCAUACGAUGGCAUCAGAAUAUGACGAAAGGUUUAGCGGUGAAGGAUGGGGAUGCGUCUGAUUAGCUUGUUGGUGAGGUAACGGCUCACCAAGGCGACGAUCAGUAGGGGUUCUGAGAGGAAGGUCCCCCACAUUGGAACUGAGACACGGUCCAAACUCCUACGGGAGGCAGCAGUGAGGAAUAUUGGUCAAUGGGCGAGAGCCUGAACCAGCCAAGUAGCGUGCAGGACGACGGCCCUAUGGGUUGUAAACUGCUUUUAUAUGGGGAUAAAGUGAGUUACGUGUAGCUUAUUGCAGGUACCAUAUGAAUAAGGACCGGCCAAUUCCGUGCCAGCAGCCGCGGUAAUACGGAAGGUCCAGGCGUUAUCCGGAUUUAUUGGGUUUAAAGGGAGCGUAGGCCGCCCCUUAAGCGUGUUGUGAAAUGCCGCGGCUCAACCGUGGCACUGCAGCGCGAACUGGGGGGCUUGAGUGCACGCAACGCAGGCGGAAUUCGUGGUGUAGCGGUGAAAUGCUUAGAUAUCACGAAGAACUCCGAUUGCGAAGGCAGCUUGCGGGAGUGCGACUGACGCUGAAGCUCGAAGGUGCGGGUAUCGAACAGGAUUAGAUACCCUGGUAGUCCGCACAGUAA